CCUACGGGAGGCAGCAGUGGGGAAUCUUGCGCAAUGGGCGAAAGCCUGACGCAGCCAUGCCGCGUGAAUGAUGAAGGUCUUAGGAUUGUAAAAUUCUUUCACCGGGGACGAUAAUGACGGUACCCGGAGAAGAAGCCCCGGCUAACUUCGUGCCAGCAGCCGCGGUAAUACGAAGGGGGCUAGCGUUGCUCGGAAUUACUGGGCGUAAAGGGAGCGUAGGCGGAUAGUUUAGUCAGAGGUGAAAGCCCAGGGCUCAACCUUGGAAUUGCCUUUGAUACUGGCUAUCUUGAGUAUGGGAGAGGUAUGCGGAACUCCGAGUGUAGAGGUGAAAUUCGUAGAUAUUCGGAAGAACACCAGUGGCGAAGGCGGCAUACUGGCCCAUUACUGACGCUGAGGCUCGAAAGCGUGGGGAGCAAACAGGAUUAGAUACCCUGGUAGUCCACGCUGUAAACGAUGAGUGCUAGUUGUCGGCAUGCAUGCAUGUCGUGCGCAGCUACGCAUAAGACGACGUCCGCCGUGGGAGGUACGGUCGCGAAGUAAGUUAAACGUUAAAGUUAAGUAAGUUAGUUACGGUCGUUGAGACGUGCCGACGGACGACGACGAGGGAGGAGG
This 612-nucleotide ribosomal RNA is filed under the name uncultured bacterium. Its description in RNAcentral is "bacterial SSU rRNA". The stretch from base 1 to 516 matches the Rfam family "Bacterial small subunit ribosomal RNA", at positions 338 to 873 of the family's 1533-position model. The record is from RNAcentral.